This 364-nucleotide ribosomal RNA is filed under the name uncultured organism. RNAcentral describes it as "bacterial SSU rRNA". It matches the Rfam family "Bacterial small subunit ribosomal RNA", at positions 526 to 896 of the family's 1533-position model. The record is from RNAcentral.
CGUAGGUGCAAGCGUUGUCCGGAUUUAUGGUUUAAAGGGUGCGUAGGCGGCCCUGUAAGUCAGUGGUGAAAUACUCCAGCUUAGCUGGAGGGUGCCAUUGAUACUGCAGGGCUUGAGUUAAGUUGAAGUUGGCGGAAUUGACGGUGUAGCGGUGAAAUGCUUAGAUAUCGUCAAGAACACCGAUAGUGAAGACAGCUAACUAAACUUUUACUGACGCUGAGGCACGAAAGUGUGGGGAUCAAACAGGAUUAGAUACCCUGGUAGUCCACACUGUAAACGUUGAUUACUCGCUGUGUGCGAUAUACAGUACGCGGCCAAGCGAAAGCGAUAAGUAAUCCACCUGGGGAGUACGCCGGCAACGGUG